This 505-nucleotide ribosomal RNA is filed under the name uncultured bacterium. RNAcentral describes it as "bacterial SSU rRNA". It matches the Rfam family "Bacterial small subunit ribosomal RNA", at positions 9 to 535 of the family's 1533-position model. The record is from RNAcentral.
GCGGUUUGAUCAUGGCUCAGAACGAACGCUGGCGGCAUGCCUAACACAUGCAAGUCGAACGCGUGUAGCAAUACACGAGUGGCGCACGGGUGAGUAACACGUGGGAACCUGCCCUGGAGUGGGGGAUAACCCGGCGAAAGCCGGGCUAAUACCGCAUACGACCUGAGGGUGAAAGAUUUAUCGCUCUAGGAGGGGCCCGCGUCGGAUUAGCUAGUUGGUGGGGUAAUGGCCUACCAAGGCGAUGAUCCGUAGCUGGUCUGAGAGGAUGAUCAGCCACACUGGGACUGAGACACGGCCCAGACUCCUACGGGAGGCAGCAGUGGGGAAUAUUGGACAAUGGGGGCAACCCUGAUCCAGCAAUGCCGCGUGAGUGAUGAAGGCCUUAGGGUCGUAAAGCUCUGUUGUUAGGGAAGAACAAGUACCGGAGUAACUGCCGGUACCUUGACGGUACCUAACCAGAAAGCCACGGCUAACUACGUGCCAGCAGCCGCGGAACCUAAAUAGC